Molecule: microRNA precursor, 101 nt
Filed under: Marmota monax (woodchuck)
Lineage: Eukaryota; Metazoa; Chordata; Mammalia; Rodentia; Sciuridae
Source: RNAcentral
ACUGGCAUCACCUGGGAGCUUGUUAGAAAUGCAGGGUCUCAGGACCCACCCGGUCCAAUUGGACUAGAAUCUGUAUUUUUAAGCUCCCAGGUGAUGGAUAG